AAAAAACAAAGCAGAAGAUCCUGUUAAUAACAAUUCUGAGGCCAGGGUGGCUGGCCAAAAGCCACCAAGGGUAGCAUGACAACUAUAUCUUGGAACUGCCAGGGGUUCGUGCAACGCCAGGCAGUUCUAGCUCUCAGAGAACUCAAGAAUAACUUCUGCCCCUCCCCUCCAUUGCUUUCCUCAUGGAGACAAAAAUCAGGCAAGGAAGUACGGAGAAUUUGGUAAUGCAACGUGUCUCCACUGUUUCUUUUUCAAUCUUAAUUAAUGGAGCUCCGCCAAGGAACCCACUUUCGCCAUUAUUGUUUCUUUUCAUUGAGCAGGGUCUAUCAUGCUUAAUUCAAAAGGAAGUUCAAGAAGGGAACUUGCACGGCAUCAAAGUUAACAGAUACACUCCAAGGAUCACAAAUGUUCUCUUUGCAGAUGAUAUUUUACUGUUUGGGAAGGCAUCAAGAAGGGGGGCUGAGAGAAUUAAAGAUCUAUUAGCAACCUAUUCAGCAGCAACUGGACAGCGGGUUAACUUCCAGAAAUCUAGUAUCUUCUUCAGUAAGGGAGCUCCACUUAACCUCAAGAGGGAAAUUAGGGAUUUGUUAGACAUGAAUGAAAUAAGAGAAUCAGAGAAGUACUUAGGCCUUCCAUCUAUCUGGGGUAGAUCGAAGAAAUAGGUUUUGGCUUUCAUUAUGGAUAAAAUCUUAUCAAAAACUCAAGCUUGGAAGCAGAAGCUACUUUCUCAGGCAGGUAGAGAGACUCUUAUCAAAUCAGUCCUCAGUGCCAUUCCUUCGUAUGCUAUGGCAAUCUUCAAAUUUCCGAAAUAUUUCUGUUGUCAACUAAACAGCUCUAUCUCAAGCUUCUGGUGUGGCAGGAAAGAUAAAGAGAAGAGGAUGUGCUGGGUUAGUUGGAGGCAAGCUUCUUAUCCAAAAUUUAUGGGAGGAUUGGGGUUUAGAGAUUUUCACCAUUUUAAUGUAGCAAGUUUAGCAAAGCAGGGGUGGGACCUGAUACCUAAACCAGACAGCCUUUGGGCAAAAGUUAUUAAGGGUUUAUAUUUCCCCCACGGUUCUUUUUGGAAUGCUAGAAAAUCCAAGAAGGGAUCAUGGGUGUGGAAUAGCCUUCUUGAAGGUAGAAGUCUUCUAAAAAAGGGUACACGCUUUAACAUAGGAGAUGGAGGCAAUACGUUGAUAUGGGAGGACCCAUGGUUCCAUCUAUUCAAGGCUUCAAAGUUCCUAGACCUGUCCACUGUCCUCUGCACAUUAAUUUGGUGAAAGACUUAAUUGAUCCUGACAAUCCAGUAUGGAAGGAAAAUCUGGUGAAAUCCUAAUUCAAAACGGAAGUUGUUCCGGCCAUAUUAUCAAUCCCAGUGGCUCCAAGGGGUAAUCAUGACUUUUUGAUUUGGCACUUUGAAAGAAAUGGCAAGUAUUCCGUCCGGUCGGGUUAUAAGUUAUUAGCGAAGGAAGAGUUGGAAAGUUAUUUCUCUAGGCCAACAACGUCCUAUACUACACCGGCUCAAACGUGGAAAGUAACCUGGAGUCUCCCAAUCCCACCUAAAGUAAAGGUGUUCCUAUGGAAGGCUAUGCUAAAUGCUCUACUAGUUCGGGGGAACCUCAAAAAUAGAGGAAUGAAGGUAAAUUCAGUUUGUCCUAUUUGUAGUAAAGAGAUUGAGUCAGUUGAGCACACUUUAUUUUAGUGUAAUCAUGCAAAAGCAUCAUGGUUUGCUAGCCCUUGUGCCUUUAAGCCAGAACCUGUUGGCUUUAAGUCUUUUUGUGUAUGGUGGUCUAUCAAGGUUGCUUCUAUUAAGGAAGGUAGUUUCACUCGAUCUUUUAGUUGUAGUAGCCAUCACAGCUUGGCAGAUUUGGAAGGAAAGAAAUAGGGCUGUUUUUGAAUUUUGUAUCCCCAAUUCAAUGACUACAGCUAAACGCAUCAAGGAAACUAUUACUGAGCUUCAAUAUUGGUCAAAUAAUGAUGAUUCAUCCCGAAGGAAUUCCUGCCAUGGGCAGCCUGCUGAGACCCAAUAAGUUUGGUGUCCUCCUGAUAGAGGUAAGCUUAAAUUUAACUGUGAUGUGGCUUGGCAACCUGGAUCUUCGACUGCAGCUGUGGGUGUAGUGGCCAGAAAUUUCAAGAGUAAUCUUGUAGAUGGAGUGGCUAAGGAUAUAUUUUGCAACUCUGCACUUCAAGGGGAAGCUCAAGCAAUUUUAGAAGCUUUAAAGUUAGCCAAAUCCAUGGAAUGUGCAUCCAUCCCUAUAGAGUCUGAUCCAGAAAUUUUGGUAACAGCUAUUAAAAAUGCUUAUAAUAUUGACUAUUGGGAGAUUCAAGCGUCAGUUAGAGCUAUUCUUCAGCUAGGCCAACAAUUUCAGUUUGUCUAAUUUUCUCAUAUCAAAAGACGAGGAAAUGGUUUUGCUCACUGCCUUGCAAAGUUAAAACUAAAAAAUCAGCUCCCUUGUAAUUGGAUAGUUGCGAUCCCUUCCAUUCUCUCCCGUUCUCUUGCUUUUGAUGCCCAAUCCCUUCCAUUCUCUCCCGUUCUCUUGCUUUUGAUGCCCAAAGGGCUGUGUAAUGCUUUUAUUAGCAAUUAAAAAAAAAAGUUGGUCCAGUGUAAUGCGGUCUGAAAUUUAUCACAAAUAACAAAGCCAUGAACCAAAAUAAAAUGUAUGAAACGCCUCCUCCUGGCUUUUUACAACAAAGGGUCAUCAUAAGAUGUUCCUAAACCAAAAAUUGAACGUAACAUGGCAACAACAAUCGCCAUCUCUCCUUGAAAUUGCACAGAUGAACUUGAAAGCUCAAACCUGUCAUAAACCUUGCUUAUGCAGCAUCAUCUUUACCUUCCACUUACGGAAUUCGGAUCCUCAUUUACCAAUGCGAAGCUCUUCUCCCCCAAACUCUUCAUCUGACCUGAGUUGAGAUUCAAAAAACGCAUGGCAGCCAGAGAGAAAUCUCAUAGGAUCAGCCAUGUAACCAGAUAUCCCCUAGAUGUCCUGGAUGUUGAGUUUUCUACUUGCCACAAGAACAUAUGAUUAAACACGCCAUUGACAAUACAUAAUUAAAAUGACAAUUCAAGUCUCAUAUAACAUAGAAUGAGGUCAUAGUAAAUAGCUAAAUCCCUCAAUGACCCCACAACAGGUCCCAA
RNAcentral lists this unclassified non-coding RNA (3112 nucleotides) under Hevea brasiliensis (rubber tree). Lineage: Eukaryota; Viridiplantae; Streptophyta; Magnoliopsida; Malpighiales; Euphorbiaceae. The record is from RNAcentral.